GACGAACGCUGGCGGCGUGCCUAAUACAUGCAAAUUGAGCGCUGAAGGUUGGUACUUGUACCGACUGGAUGAGCAGCGAACGGGUGAGUAACGCGUGGGGAAUCUGCCUUUGAGCGGGGGACAACAUUUGGAAACGAAUGCUAAUACCGCAUAAAAACUUUAAACACAAGUUUUAAGUUUGAAAGAUGCAAUUGCAUCACUCAAAGAUGAUCCCGCGUUGUAUUAGCUAGUUGGUGAGGUAAAGGCUCACCAAGGCGAUGAUACAUAGCCGACCUGAGAGGGUGAUCGGCCACAUUGGGACUGAGACACGGCCCAAACUCCUACGGGAGGCAGCAGUAGGGAAUCUUCGGCAAUGGACGAAAGUCUGACCGAGCAACGCCGCGUGAGUGAAGAAGGUUUUCGGAUCGUAAAACUCUGUUGGUAGAGAAGAACGUUGGUGAGAGUGGAAAGCUCAUCAAGUGACGGUAACUACCCAGAAAGGGACGGCUAACUACGUG
RNAcentral lists this ribosomal RNA (497 nucleotides) under uncultured bacterium. RNAcentral describes it as "partial 16S ribosomal RNA". It matches the Rfam family "Bacterial small subunit ribosomal RNA", at positions 28 to 507 of the family's 1533-position model. The record is from RNAcentral.